GCUUUUUAGGGUUGCACUCACAGCAUAUGGACGUUCCAAGGCUAGGAGCUGAAUUGGAGCUGUAGCUGCCGCCUACACCACAGCCACAGCCACACAGCAUCCUCAUGGAUACUAGUUGGGUUCAUUUCCGCUGAGCCACAAAGGGAACUCCAGAACUUCAAGCACUUUUAACUGCUUUAUUUCUCUUGGUUUAAAAACCAAGGGAAAUUGAACCCAGAGGAACUGACUUUGCUGCCACUGUCCAAGAGGCAGCAGCGACAGCCAAUCAGACCUGGAUGCCCGGCCCUGGACCUGCAUUUUAAUCCCCAAACGCUACUUCUUCCCCGUAAUGACAGUCACCUUCCCCUUAAUUAAAAUUCCCUUACAAAUGUAGACAUUCCGCUUUUACUAAUAAUUACUUGGAGAGGAUUUUUAGCAAUCAGCACUACAUAAAUAUCCGUACCUCCUCGAAGACCCUAAGAAUUGCAGUGCUCUCCCUUCCUCUAAUUUAUUAUUUAUAUCCUGCCGCGGAUAGACAUAGCUCUUUGUGGCAAUUAAGAUGGGCCUUCCAGUCUCCUCUCGCGGAAUGAGGCUGGAGACAAGCAUUACCGCUUCGAUCACAAUUACUAUUAAUUGGAGAGCUCUCCCUUCUCUAUAAAAUAUGUACCACUCGAAAGUGCGAUCAACUGCCCAAGGAAUAUGAACUCCGUGUCGGGAGACGUAUUGUGAGGGCUUAGGAUUUAACAAGGCAUUUACCCUAUAAUUACUGGGGGGAAUCCUCUGAAUGGAGCAGGGAUGACAUGCUCCCAUCAGCUGGGGCUUAGGCUCCGAGCUAAUUCUCCCACGAUGCAACGAACUCGGGGGGCGACCGCAAAUGGCAAGACACAUCGCACUGGUGCUUUGGUUCUGAAUACACUCAGAGGACCAGCAGGGAUUCUUGGCUCAGGAAAUCCCUAGGCCCAGCUCCGAAGGACCAAACUCCCCCCGAUUCAUCAUUUCGUUCAUUUAUUUUUUUAAGUCCCGUGCCUGCUCUAAUGCCAGACGUUGAUUCUGAAUCCAGAUCCUGGGUCUCCAAGACAGACGUGACGUCCUCCCAGCCCUAGGGAAGCAGAUCCUCUUCCGGGGGCAAUGCCGGGUCUGAUGACGCGCGGCCGACAGCAGAGGACUCUUGGCCACAAAAGGAAAGAAAGAAAGAGAGAGAGAGAGGAAGGAAGGAAGGAAGGAAGGAAGGAAGGAAGAGCCAUCUGCCUGCGGAAGUUACUUAAAUUCCUGCAAGGAAAGCAGAAGGUGUUCCGGGAAAAUGCCCAAUGAGGCAAGGGUCUUUUCAAAGGCUGGGGUAUUAAAGCACGUUUAGAAUUGUGAGAAGGUCCACCUGGGUGGAUGGGGAGGUUGGUUUGUGCGCAGAGUGUGACUCAGCCCUUUAUCAAACUCCAUCAAGAAGAUUCACCUUCUCUCUCACUCGUAUUGAUUUGAACCACCUCUAUGCUGUGAUUCCAGGCAGUGACCAGACGGGCCUCUCCAUCAGAAUUUUCAGAGCGAAAUGCGAGGGAGCGCAUCUGUCCUCUCCAGGACCACUACCACUGGCUCUGUAUCAUUUGUGACACGGUGGUGCCUCCUGGGAAUUCGUGACUUGCUUUACCUUCAGAGGCAGCAAACCAAUUCAGAUGUUCGUGACCAGAAUCAUGCUUAUGCCAGACGAAGGGGAGUCAGCAGAACAAGGGACUGGCCUUUUGGCAGAAGGCUUUGUACCCAGACAAGCCAAGGUGCGAGUUAACUUCACUGCACCCUAACUGUGUGAACUUGGGCAAGACUUUUCAAUUCUGAGACUCUGUUUCCGUAUUUGAAAAAUGGAGACAAUGAGAACGAGCAUCCCUUUACAACGGCGCGCCUCGGAAAACCCUGGAAGACUUCGUGUCAUUUGCACCCCUAGCACGGUAACAACUGUAAUUAUGCGUCUUUGAUCAAGUUUUCCCCAAAGGAGAGUUUCACUGGAAUCACUUCAGGGUCGUCAAAAAACACGUGUGCCGGGGACCCCCACUACAGAAAUUAUGAUUUCUUAGUUCUGGGUACAAGGAAGAGGGCACAGCCAAGGGUGAAAUACACACCAUUAAAAAGAGAAUGUUAAACACAGAUGUUGAUUACGUAAACCGAAAUGUCACUUGUUUCUCCCUCAGAAAUGCUCACACACUCUUGUAAUUAAGAGGAGUUUUAUUUAAACACAAUGCUAUCGCAUCCUCCUUUUUUGGACAUAAUAAGCAAUGGCAUUAUUCUAAAAUGUAAUCUAAAGUCUGGUACCAAGCCCCUAAUUUGUACAGCAAAACCAAACCUCCCUGUCUAGAGGACAAAAUCUGGAAACCCUAGUCCACAGGCAAUGUUCCCGCUGCCCAUUUUAAGGGAGAGGUGUGUAGCCACACAGGAAGUUCAUGGGUUUGUUAGGUGUCUGUUGAGAAUACAAAGAUUCUGAAGCACCAGGGAGAGAAGCCCAUCCUGACCACCAAAGACAGUAGCCUUCUUGAUAAAGUAAGGGAAGUGCAUAAUCAAGCUGAUGCUUAAUGAUUUAUCAGUGGAUGGCUGCUAUCAAUCGCCAUGACGUAACUCAUUCCGUUUAACCUGGAAACAGGUCUGCGAGGGAGCUGCUGCUUCCCACUUUACACACGAACAAACUGAGGUUCUGAGCACAGAGGCAAUCUGCCGAGGGUCAUACAGCCGCUAUGUGUGAAAAUGGAAGCAUUUCUUGCUCUUGAGCUCAAGCCCACCAGGACUGCACUUGGUUUAAUUAGAUUUUCUCCAAGCUGCAACGGAAUGAGUGGGAGGAGAGUGUGGACCUCUUUGAAAAGUCGGCCUCUGCAAGGUCAGCGAUGCUACAAUCUCAGUUCCCCGAAUACCCCCUCUAAUCCUUUUGGGAACAAUCCCUGCUGGGGUCAGAGGAGAGGAUAGCGCUUUCUGAAAUUACAAAUGAAGACCAACAAUCAAGCAUAACACAAAGAAUGUUUAUUUCUCAGGCUUACAGAGACUGAUGGGAAUAGAUGGCUCACCUUCUUAAUGUACUGAGCACACGGAACACGGUGCCUUCAAGGUCACUGUGGCAGAAAAAGAGAAAUCGAGAUAGAGACUCUGGAAGCCUGGCAGCAGGCUGCUGUUACCAACUUCAUUCUGAAGGAGCCUGGGAAGCCCCCCAGCAUGCCCAGGAGGAGGAACAGGGAGCCACACACAGAGCACUCAGUCGGUCACAGGAGCUGUUCUCCUUGGGCCCUAGGAAGCCUCUUAUCUCACGAAUCCCAAAUGUCUAUGUCUUAUGACCUGUGGUCUUUCUAUCAAAAGCCACAUCAAACCACACCAACCAGUGCUCACAAAGGGUUGGAAACAAGAAUCCAACUAUAUCAGCUUCCCAGAGCUGCUAUAACAAAGUAUCACCAACUGGGUGGCUUAAACAGACACGAACUC
RNAcentral lists this long non-coding RNA (3423 nucleotides) under Sus scrofa (pig). RNAcentral's name for it is "lncRNA (ENSSSCG00035066292.1)". Lineage: Eukaryota; Metazoa; Chordata; Mammalia; Artiodactyla; Suidae. The record is from RNAcentral.